Molecule: ribosomal RNA, 506 nt
Filed under: uncultured bacterium
Lineage: Bacteria
Description: bacterial SSU rRNA
Rfam family: Bacterial small subunit ribosomal RNA
Source: RNAcentral
AGUGGCGCACGGGUGAGUAACACGUGGGUAACCUGCCCUUGAGUGGGGGAUAACCUUCCGAAAGGAGGGCUAAUACCGCAUAAGACCACGUCCAGUACGCUGGAUGGGGUCAAAGCUGGCCUCUUCAUGAAAGCUAGCGCUUAGGGAUGGGCCCGCGUCCCAUCAGGUAGUUGGUGGGGUAAUGGCCUACCAAGCCUUAGACGGGUAACUGGUCUGAGAGGAUGAUCAGUCACACUGGAACUGAGACACGGUCCAGACUCCUACGGGAGGCAGCAGUGGGGAAUCUUGCGCAAUGGGCGAAAGCCUGACGCAGCGACGCCGCGUGGGUGAUGAAGGCCUUCGGGUUGUAAAGCCCUGUGGGAAGGGACGAAUAAGUGCAAUCGAAUACAUUGCAUGAUGACGGUACCUACUUAGCAAGCACCGGCUAACUCUGUGCCAGCAGCCGCGGUAAGACAGAGGGUGCAAACGUUGUUCGGAAUUACUGGGCGUAAAGCGCGUGUAGGCGG